This is a long non-coding RNA of Pantherophis guttatus, 252 nucleotides long. RefSeq lists it as uncharacterized. NCBI's taxonomy places the organism in Eukaryota, Metazoa, Chordata, Lepidosauria, Squamata, Colubridae. The record is from RefSeq and is a predicted model, not a curated record.
GAAAAUGUGAUACUUUCUUGAAUAUGCUGAUGGAAACAACAUGACAUCAAAAUCUAGCAUGUGUAAGAGAAGGACUGAUAGAGCCCGGGGCAGAGAUGAAAUGAGAGAUGAGUCUACAAUCAUACACAGCCACAAAUUAAAUCCAAGUCCCCUUGACUGCUAUUGACCUUUCUCUAACCCUAGCCAAGUUCUGACUAUUAGUUGAGAAGAUUCCUGUGCAUAGGCUUUUAACAAUAAAUCGGUUAAAUUGAA